This 521-nucleotide ribosomal RNA is filed under the name Bacillus sp. LBBMA TR22. Its description in RNAcentral is "bacterial SSU rRNA". It matches the Rfam family "Bacterial small subunit ribosomal RNA", at positions 24 to 527 of the family's 1533-position model. Lineage: Bacteria; Bacillati; Bacillota; Bacilli; Caryophanales; Bacillaceae. The record is from RNAcentral.
UCAGGACGAACGCUGGCGGCGUGCCUAAUACAUGCAAGUCGAGCGGACAGAUGGGAGCUUGCUCCCUGAUGUUAGCGGCGGACGGGUGAGUAACACGUGGGUAACCUGCCUGUAAGACUGGGAUAACUCCGGGAAACCGGGGCUAAUACCGGAUGGUUGUCUUGAACCGCAUGGUUCAGACAUAAAAGGUGGCUUCGGCUACCACUUACAGAUGGACCCGCGGCGCAUUAGCUAGUUGGUGAGGUAACGGCUCACCAAGGCGACGAUGCGUAGCCGACCUGAGAGGGUGAUCGGCCACACUGGGACUGAGACACGGCCCAGACUCCUACGGGAGGCAGCAGUAGGGAAUCUUCCGCAAUGGACGAAAGUCUGACGGAGCAACGCCGCGUGAGUGAUGAAGUUUUCGGAUCGUAAAGCUCUGUUGUUAGGGAAGAACAAGUGCCGUUCAAAUAGGGCGGCACCUUGACGGUACCUAACCAGAAAGCCACGGCUAACUACGUGCCAGCAGCCGCGGUAAUACG